This is a non-coding RNA of Glycine soja, 120 nucleotides long. Lineage: Eukaryota; Viridiplantae; Streptophyta; Magnoliopsida; Fabales; Fabaceae. The record is from Rfam.
UUCUUAUUAGAUGAUGACUGUCAUAUAUCAUGUUUUAAUUGGAUGUCGAAUCCAUGAAAGAUGAAAUGCAUUAUUGUUGUCAUUGGUCAAUCAGAACAUGACACGUGACAGUCAACAUUC